Molecule: long non-coding RNA, 402 nt
Filed under: Mytilus galloprovincialis (Mediterranean mussel)
Lineage: Eukaryota; Metazoa; Mollusca; Bivalvia; Mytilida; Mytilidae
Source: RNAcentral
UUUAGUUGUAUUAUUGGUGGACCAGGUUUAUAUUAAUGGAAGGAGACUUAAUAAAAUGGGGAAUGAUAUUUAUAAUGAAAUGCAUUCUGUGUCUAUAAUCAACUUGAUAAAAGAGCAUAUAACCUACAUAUAAAAAAGAAGAUGUGGUAUGAUUGCCAAUGAGACAACUAUCCACAAAAGACCAAAAUGACACAGACAUUAACAACUAUAGGUCACCGUACGGCCUUCAACAAUGAGCAAAUCCCAUACCGCAUAGUCAGCUAUAAUAGGCCCCGAUAAGACAAUGUAAAACAAUUCAAACGAGAAAACUAACGGCCUUAUUUAUGUAAAAAAAUGAACGAAAAACAAAUAUGUAACACAUAAACAAACGACAACCACUGAAUUACAGGCUGCUGACUUGGG